This is a non-coding RNA of Microcebus murinus (gray mouse lemur), 420 nucleotides long. The record is from RefSeq and is a predicted model, not a curated record. NCBI's taxonomy places the organism in Eukaryota, Metazoa, Chordata, Mammalia, Primates, Cheirogaleidae.
GGUAUAGAUCUCUACUGGUUCAUUUUUGACUGGCAUAGGGCAUGCUGGAUGAAGAGACCCUGCACUGGGCCUGUGACCAGCAGGAACUGAAUCAAUGCUGAGAACACAUUCUAACAUUUGAAUGGGCAGCUUGCAGUUACAGUGACUUUGGAUAAGGCCUGAAGGGAAGUUCCAUGUAGCACAAGCAAACUUAAGUUGCUGUUUCAAUACCACCUGCAUCUGCAGGCAUUUGGAUUAAAAAGGAUUUCGACCAUUAUGUGUACAUAUGCCGUAUGUGAAUGUGGUCCUAGAAAGAUGACCAACAAAAGAUGUUGCAUCAGGAUAGUCAAUCUUUCCAAGCCUCUAAAACUUCUCUGGAAUACCCAAGAGUCUACAGGCCACACUUUGAGAACUGCUGGUAUAAAAGUAAUUUUAAUAGGA